CCUACGGGGGACAGCAGUGGGGAAUAUUGCACAAUGGGCGAAAGCCUGAUGCAGCAACGCCGCGUGGGUGAAGGAGCGUUUCGGCGCGUAAAGCCCUGUUAGCGGGGAAGAAGAAACACGGUAGUCGCUCAAGAAGCCCCGGCUAACUACGUCCCAGCAGCCGCGGUAAUACGCAGGGGGCGAGCGUUAUCCGGAAUUACUGGGUGUAAAGGGAGCGUAGGCGGUGAGGUAAGUCUGAAGUGGAAGCCCGCGGCCCAACCGCGGAACUGCUUGGGAAACUGUUUGGCUGGAGUGUGGGAGGGGUAAGCGGAAUGCAUGGUGUAGCGGUGAAAUGCGUAGAUAUCAGGAAGAACACCGGUGGCGAAGGCGGCUUACUGGACUAUAACUGACGUUGAGGCUCGAAAGCGUGGGGAGCGAACAGGAUUAGAUACCCUAGUAGUC
This 441-nucleotide ribosomal RNA is filed under the name uncultured bacterium. Its description in RNAcentral is "partial 16S ribosomal RNA". It matches the Rfam family "Bacterial small subunit ribosomal RNA", at positions 338 to 795 of the family's 1533-position model. The record is from RNAcentral.